This 550-nucleotide ribosomal RNA is filed under the name uncultured bacterium. RNAcentral's name for it is "bacterial SSU rRNA". It matches the Rfam family "Bacterial small subunit ribosomal RNA", at positions 350 to 891 of the family's 1533-position model. The record is from RNAcentral.
AGCAGUAGGGAAUCUUCCGCAAUGGACGAAAGUCUGACGGAGCACGCCGCGUGAGUGAUGAAGGCUUUCGGGUCGUAAAACUCUGUUGUUAGGGAAGAACAAGUGCUAGUUGAAUAAGCUGGCACCUUGACGGUACCUAACCAGAAAGCCACGGCUAACUACGUGCCAGCAGCCGCGGUAAUACGUAGGUGGCAAGCGUUAUCCGGAAUUAUUGGGCGUAAAGCGCGCGCAGGUGGUUUCUUAAGUCUGAUGUGAAAGCCCACGGCUCAACCGUGGAGGGUCAUUGGAAACUGGGAGACUUGAGUGCAGAAGAGGAAAGUGGAAUUCCAUGUGUAGCGGUGAAAUGCGUAGAGAUAUGGAGGAACACCAGUGGCGAAGGCGACUUUCUGGUCUGUAACUGACACUGAGGCGCGAAAGCGUGGGGAGCAAACAGGAUUAGAUACCCUGGUAGUCCACGCCGUAAACGAUGAGUGCUAAGUGUUAGAGGGUUUCCGCCCUUUAGUGCUGAAGUUAACGCAUUAAGCACUCCGCCUGGGGAGUACGGCCGCAA